Molecule: long non-coding RNA, 637 nt
Organism: Tupaia belangeri chinensis (Chinese tree shrew)
Lineage: Eukaryota; Metazoa; Chordata; Mammalia; Scandentia; Tupaiidae
Exons: 4
Source: RefSeq, a predicted model, not a curated record
GCCUACGGCUUCCAGAAGGCUGUGCGGCACAGGCGAGCCAAGCCGGGCUGACCCAGUGCCUGGGGGCGGUAUUUCUCCGGGCUCUUGAAAGGCAAGGAAGUGAGGCCCAGAGAGUACGAGGGAGGAAAUACGUUUAUUCCUGUCCUCGAGGCAGGAUGAAUGUGGAAAUGCUGGUGCGAAUGUGUGUUUAAGUACAGCGAGGACUCUUGAUUAUCCAGUAUCCUUGCCUUUUGAGGACGCUUUCUCAAGAAGGACGAGUGGGUCUCUCUCAGCCCCUGGCUCCUCUGCUGCCUCGACCUCGGGUUUCGGGUUUCGGUGCAGGAGCCACCAGGUCAAGAACCACGCCUCACACAACCAGCCCCGAAAAUGGCACAGAAAUGGCAUCAAGAAAUUCCAUCACAAAGAAGCUUUCAAAUUACCAGCUUCUAGAGGAUAAAGAUCCUUUACUUUAAAUCCUCAGUGAAGCCCUGGCCUCUAGAAGGCAACAAACAAGAUUGUCUCCAUCCCCUCCGAGUUUACAGCCUCGCACAAGAAGUAGGUGGACCCUAUUGUAUCAAUAAAUAAAAGGUUUGAUCAUCAUCUCGACCAAACUGCCAUUAUCCAAGCCUUCAAAUCAUACUGAGUGUAUAUAACCACG